Molecule: transfer RNA, 77 nt
Filed under: Candidatus Saccharimonadota bacterium
Lineage: Bacteria; Candidatus Saccharimonadota
Also listed under: 2 other names
Description: tRNA-Val
Rfam family: tRNA
About the family: Transfer RNA (tRNA) molecules are approximately 80 nucleotides in length. Their secondary structure includes four short double-helical elements and three loops (D, anti-codon, and T loops).
Source: RNAcentral
GGGUGAUUAGCUCAGCUGGCUAGAGCGCAGCAUUCACAUUGCUGAGGUCGGGGGUUCGAGCCCCUCAUCACCCACCA